Papio anubis (olive baboon) is the source of this 287-nucleotide non-coding RNA. NCBI's taxonomy places the organism in Eukaryota, Metazoa, Chordata, Mammalia, Primates, Cercopithecidae. The record is from Rfam.
CCAACAUUUGUGGGAGCUGGGGGCUCACACAAUGAAGAUGCCCUCCUGGCCCAGGCAGGAUCCUAAAGCAUCCGUGGCACCCCAGCCUACCUCACCCACCCACAGUGCCUGGAGGUGGAGCACAAGGGCACAUGUUAGGACCUGAAAGAUGGUGAGUUGGAUCUGGCAGAGUGAAGCCAGAGGAAACUCAGGUGGAGGUCUGUAGUGGUCCCGAUAUACAAAUCGGUCAUCUGACCUGGGUACAGGUGCAUGAGGGCAAAAGACUAGAGAAACCACCCAGCAGCUGG